Mus musculus (house mouse) is the source of this 14923-nucleotide long non-coding RNA. RefSeq annotates it as predicted gene, 41343. The transcript is spliced from 3 exons. The record is from RefSeq and is a predicted model, not a curated record. Lineage: Eukaryota; Metazoa; Chordata; Mammalia; Rodentia; Muridae.
GGUUGGGUGUAGGAGCAUGAAGAUUGGAUGUGGUAGCAUGAAGCCUGAGUUUGGGAGCACCAAGACUAGGUAUAAGAGCAUGGAGAUUGGGUAGGGAUGCCAAAAGCCUGGGUGUGGGAGCACAAAGAUUGGGUUUGGGACCACAAGGAAUGGAUGUGGGAACAUGAAGCCUGGGUUUGGGAGCACUGAGACGAGGUAUGGGAAUACUGGCUCUACUACUGAGUCACAGGGAGAAACAGCUCUUCAGUAGAAGGUACUUGGGUGAGGAAGGGCAGAGAGCAGAAUUACUGCCAUCACACAGGAGAGUAAUGGCAGAGCUCAGCCAGGACAGGAGUUGCUGUGGUAGUAACGGACCUAGCAGAACAGAAUUCAAAGAUUUUCCUGGUGUUUCUUGCCAAGACCUCAGCGGCCACACUGGGGAUGCAUCCUUAGAGGUAAAACUGUGUGCCGAUCCUAUUGCAGGCCUGAGGUGUCUGUUGGGGGAUCUCCAUCCCUUCCAGAAGACUGUGUCUGCUAAGCUCUGGCUCCUUGAACAGGGCAGAGGGGACAGGAUGCUUGUGACUGGACAAACUCUCACCUCUCAAGAGUGUCCCUCUUGCACAGUGACAGGGAAAACUGGAGCCCCUGGGAGAUCCCAAUAUGGGCAAACUCCACACACGAUACCAAGUCAAGAGCCAUCUUCAGCAGACAGCAGCUAGCAAGUAGUUUUUUAUAUCAAAGACCAAAAGGAACAGGAUGCUGCCAACAACACAGGAAAGCUGGAAACACUGUCCUAGGCUGGGCUCUGGAUGUACACAUGGCCCCGGCUGUCGCAUCCGCUCUCGACCAGCAAGAACGACACGACCACCAGUCCUUCUAACAGCAGUUUAUUCAGCAAACUUCCGUCUUCAUCUCUCUCGCUUCAACUUUUUCUCUCAUCUUUUUUAUCUCUCUCUCUAACCCGGGCCUCUCACUCUUAUAUACUCUCAGCCCUCAUCCAUUCAUGGCAUGCCAUGUCACCUCACCAGGCACGCAGCUUCAGCUAAUCAGGGCAGCAGGGGCAUGUCUCCACCAAAAUGGAUUCCUGGUGCACCUGUGCAGCUCUCACGAUGGUUGUGGCUUAUUUUCAGGUGUAUGAGGAAGUCAGGUGCAAGUCAUAAGACUUAGCUGCAGUCCCUGGCGCCUUCUUGGGACUGCUGCCACACCCGCUCCUCACACCCAGCAACAUCUCAACUGCAGUCUCAUGAAACCUGAACUCAGGGCAGAGCUAAGGGGCUCUAGAGCUGCCCCAUACAAGUGUGGCAGGAGCAGAUCUGUUUCUUUGAGUGGGAAGUUCAUGUUAACCUGAGCAACGCCAUAUAUAGCAAAUGCGCUUAGUAGGAUUAGCAAACAUCUCAGGUCAGAGAGACACCAGAAAAGUCCCAGGGCCUGCUCUGUCCCGGCUUCUGAGGCUGAAAUGGGGAGCUCUGAGAUCCGUGCCAGAGCCAAACACAGUGUUAUUUGCCCAGUGCACACACUGGCUAUUUGCUAAGUGCGAACACGAAAACGUUCUCUGAGCCCUUUAAGUCCUCGAUUUUAUUCUGUGUAUUGAGCAUGACUCAUGCACACAGCUGUCAAUCUGCCAUCUCCCUGGGGAUGUCAAGGCAGAUCCUCGGUGGCAAGGCCUCCACAGCUAAAUCUCCUGUCCCCACUUUAAGCUUGACCUCCAUCCAGACUUGCCUAUCCAUAAACAGCCCGCUUGGAGCUGGUCACCACCUCUCACACCACAGCCGCUUCUUUGUCCUUUGGAAAUGUACUUCAAAGCCAAGUAACAAUGCCCAUGGCUAUGGUGACAGCCUGACUGUCACCAGACAGACACCCCAACUCCAGCCUGAGCUCACAGACACCCCCACUGGCCUCCCGCUGCCACGUCUGCCCUCUUCCACUUAAUCUCCAAACUCCAGCCAAAACAGCUAUUUUCUUAAGUGAAAUUGCAAAUUUUAGUCCUACUUAAAACCUUCCUUGGCAUCCAGCGCCUCUUGAUCAAAUGAAGUCGCUUGACCCCUCAGCAGCCUGAGUCAGCAGGUCCUGCGGCUCCGGGUGAGCUAAGUCUACUUCCUCAUCUUUCCCUGCAAACAGCUGCAGCCCUUCUGGGCCAGGAAUUUCCAGGAGCUGGGACAUGGUGUCUCCUAUGCUGGCUAAAAUAUCCCACCUUCCUGUGCACCUCAGCGUGAGCAUCAAUCCCUGUAAUAGGCCCUUCGUCCAUGGCAUCCCUUUCCUCGCUGUGCACAGCAAGAUUACUAAGCAGAAAAUUACAUAUGAGCUUGUUACUUAUGUUAAUGCUUUCCCAAUCAGACUGUCAGCUGCCCAAGAGUCCAAAUGACGGGACUCUUGGGCACACACUCUACAGAAAAGCUAAGCGUGAAGUCUGGUCUCUGAGAGCCCCCAAAACAUUCCGGGAUAGGCCCCUUUGGUUCCCAGGAGAAGUGUAGAUGGAGUUCCCUAAGGACAAAUAGGAGGUAUGGAGAGAAGCCUUCAGUCUAACCUCAGUCUUUCCUCAGAUAGAUCCUGCUGCACUCUGGCCUGUCCCUGCAUGCCAGAUAGGUGGCCCUGAGUAAGUUAUGGCCACACGCAUCUUAGAAACAGGUUCCUCAUUGCCUCCUCCAUGGGCUACAGCAGUAGUUCACAACCUUCCUAAUGCUAUAACCAUUUAAUAGAAUUUCUCAUGUUGUGAACCCCAACUAUAAAAUUAUUUUCAUUGCUACUCCAUAACUGUAGUUUUGCUACUGUUAUGAAUCAAUGUAAAUAUCUGAUAUUUAGGAUAUCUGAUAUGUGAUCCCCCAAAGAGGCUCCAACCCACAGGCUGAGAACUGCUGGGGUAGAGAGGAAAAGGAAGAGGAGCAGUGGAGUGUGCUAAGGCCACACAGUUGCAGCGUGUAACAAUCAGUGGGUAUAAGCACAUGGCAGGCCACCCAGAACCAACUGAGCUAGCCAGAGAAAACUGGUGCGGGGGGGGGGGGGGUCAGAAGCUGGGCUGGAGGCUGUUGGAGAGACAGGAGAAAGGGUUUAUGGAGUCAGGAGCCCCAUUACAGAAGACACCAGCAAACAAGUAGAGAAAAAAAAAACCCAUAGGCUAGCAGUAUACUUGACACUCCAGGCUCAGUUCAUCUGCAAGCAGGCACUGCUCCUUCCAAUGGAGCCUUGCCUGUGACUUCAGAAGGCCUGACAGCCUUCAUGGAUACACAAGGCUGAGGGGCAAUAGGAGAUGGGCUGCGGAACUAGAUUGGUGGUAGCUUUCCAGAGGAGCGUAUUUGUUAGAUCCUAUCAUCUUCAUACAAUGAAAGUGGGGUACAGAGACAGUGGCAAGGACUCUCAGUUGCAAUGCAGGAAUGAGGAGAAGAGGAAGGAGAGAAAUGGCAGCUGCUUUAGGCUGUUUGGGAGUCUCUACUGGAGUUCAAGUCAAGGGAGAAGAGGCCAAUGGUAGGCUCCUCUGACACACUUGACAAAGUCUGUCUGUGGACAUCAGACACAUGGGAAGAAACAGCGCCAUUGCAGCAGCCAGGUUACAAAGCAGCCAAAUGGUUAGCCAGCACCAUCACCGCCCACAUCUAGGACCCUCUCAGCACAAAGGGGAUCCACACACCCAUCAUGAUAUUUGCAGAAACGUAAUACUUCAAAACACACAAAAGCUUCAAGAUGGGGUCCAAUUUAAUCUGCAGUUGAAUACCAGAAGCACAAUGAUCCUAAAAUUAAAUGACAUCAUCUGUCAAAACAGUGGCUUUCUAAUUUGAGUUAAGGCACUGUGGAAUUUUAUGUGGAAAGAAACAUUUAAUUAGGACGGAGUUUUCUGCCAGAGCGGACUCAGGGAAAGUCUGGCCAGCUUUAGUGAGGUUCCCCAUCGGCCAUCAGCAGCAAGGACAUGGAGGGGAGUCCUAGUCACCCAAGAGUGUACCAAUGGGAAUCUCCCUCACAUAUGCAGUGGUGACCCUGGCUCUUUGAGUGACAGCUAACAUGUCACACAACCAGGGACCAUGAGACUUAACAUUCAGAGGGUAUUUCUCAGAUGAUACUGGAUGCCACUCUAGGUCCCCUGACACAGCAGGGCAUGGUAGGACUCAGACCCUUCCAGCAUCCACAGCCACAUCUACAUGAAACUAGCAUUUAGACUCACCUUAUUUUUAUUUGUAACCAAAGAGUCAGGGCUGCUCUCCCUAUUUGUCUGAGAAUUACAGUGCUGGUGUCUUGGUCUUUUUUCCUAUUACUAUAAUAAGUACUCAAAUAAAAACAACUUGAGAAGAAAGGUUUAUUCUACUCACAAUUCAAGAUACAGUUUAGUGUGGUAGGAAAACAGAGGCAGCAGGAGCUGGAAGCAGCUGGUCACGUGACAUCUGCAGUCAGGAAGCAAAAAGUGAUGAGUGCUUCUGCUGUUCCGCUCUUUCUCCAUUCACACCAUCCAGGAUCCCAGCCAGGGAAUGGGGUCGCCCACAGUGGACAGGCCUUCCCAUGUCAAUUAAUGUAAUCACUGUAAUAGCUCACAAGCAUGCUAAGAGGCUUGUCUCCCAAUUGAUUCUAGAUUCUGUCACAGAGUGUCUCAUUGGUUCUCCUAGUCAGGCAAUGAGUGCCUCAAAAGAAAAAGUCAUGUUUAGUGCAUAGCCCCUCCCCGGUCCCUGGCAGCACAGCUUUCAUCUGGGAUGCAUGGGUGUUCCAUACACACUCGGUGAGUAAGAUAAACUAGAAUCUUGAGCCUCCUUGAUGGAGUAAUUGAUUUUAAAAAGGUGGGUAUAUCACUGGACACACAUAAACUCAGGAAGACAUUUGCACCUUUUUAUGUAUUUUUGAGACAGCUUCUUAUGAAGACCAAGCUAGCCUCGAACUCACCAUGUUGCUAAGGAUGAUCUGGAGAUGCUCAUCCUCCUGCCUCUGCCUCCCGACUGCUGGGAUUACAGGCUCAUACCAUAAUAUCUAGAUUAUGCAGUAUUGGGGAUCAGUCCCAAGGUUUCAUGCAAGCUGGGCACUCAACCUACCAACCAACCUACAUCCCCCACCUUCAGCUCACAUUCAACACAUCAUCUAAAGGAUGCUCUUGGUUUUAAAGGGAUUCCUGUCCCAAGAAGCAUUUGUCAUAGCCAGAAGAGGCAUUCCCACAGAAAUGAUGCAGUAAGAGUCUACAAACUAUAAUAAUAAAUGCAACCCCAGUUCAUGAGUCUGCACUGGCUGAUGGACCAGGUUCUUGCCAAAAUUAAGGUCCCAAGUCUAUAGGAGCCAAAACAGUAUUAAGCUGAAGUCAUAAAUUCCAAGACCUAAAGUCACCUCUAUUAUGAAAGUGGAAGUGAUGUUGUAACUUUUAAAGGGUGAGUUAUUAGCCAACAAGCAAAGAUAGUAUCUACGUGACUCACCAAAAUGAUUCACAAAGAAAUGCUAAAUUGGCUUUUCAGCCCAAAACAAAGACGGUGCAGACAAUGACUUACACAAGAGUAAAGAUUCACAAUUGAUUUUAAUUGUUGUUAUUGUUAACACCAAAAGCAGGAAGCAUUGCCUUCCUUUCUUUAGGCCCUUCCUUCAUUCACCACUUCCUUCACAGGGUCACCAUGGUACCUGUCAAUCAAGACUGCUUGGCACCAUGGCAACCAAUGAGUGACUUCUUUAAUUAUGGAGAAGUGGGGGGGGAUCCACCUGGAUUUUCACAGAUAAAUAAAUAAAUUGAUAGCCCUGCAGCCCUGGACUAUCAGGCUAACCACAGAGAUGCUGGUGCCCACAGAGACCAUGGGGUGACUGGCUAUGGGGGAAGAGGCUGUUGUGCAGGCUAAAGACCUCUGUGGGGACAAAGGCCAGAGCAGAUAUUGUUCCCUAUUUUGCCCUGCAAGUCCAGGGGAAGCAUGUCCAUUUCUUUGAGAGGGUAGAAAGGAAGCCGUGCUAAUUGACUAUCCAUUAUGCUCCUGUCCCACAGAUCUAUAAAACAAUCCUUCGAGGCAGAGGCAGGGAUUAACCGGUGCUAUACUUUACACAAGAGGAAAUUGAGGCUCAAGAUGCAUGUGAAUUGCCCAAGGGGUCAGUUUGACUUAGUCAGUAAAUGGCAGGCUUAGCUCUGAGGCUGAGCCUGCCUGCCUGCAAAUAUUCUGUCCACCUGCCCUGACUUGGCUAAGGCCUUCUGAUAAUGAAUCAGUGUGUACUAAGAAAAGGUCAGCACUCAGGACACACACACACAACACACACACAGGCUGGCUCCUUGAGGAAGCAACUUCACAGUCCCUUAGACUCCCAUUAAAAGGCUCCUCCUGAGAGGCCCUUGGGCCUGAGGGUGUGCAGUGCUGUAGUGUAGGGGAACACCAAGGAGGGAAGACAGGAGUGGGGAUGGAGCACCCUCAGAGAGGCAGGGGGAAGGAAGAUGGGAUAGAAAGAUUACAAAGGGGAGAGCUGGAAAGGGGAAAACAUUUGAAAUGUAAAUAAAGAAAUAUCUAAUUAAAAAAAAGAAGAAGAAGAAGGAGGAAGAAGAAGGCUCCUCUUCUAGAUUCUUUGUUGCUCUGCCAAAUAGAUUGAUUUUUGUGGAGAUUAUGUCAGCUGAAGGCAAUGCCCCUCCUCGACCUCUAAGGGACAUGCUAACACCCAACCAUGUGAGUUCACUUAGCAAGUUUCCCAGCCUUUGCCUGAAUGGGUCAGUCCUGCAGUCAGAGGCUGUUCAUCUUCACUUUCAACAUGACUGGAUGAAGAAACAACUAGACCAUCCUGAGGCACAUCUGUGACUCUGUCUGUGAGGGCAUUUUCAGGGAGGACUGACUGAGGAGGGAAGACCCACUCUAAUGUGACUGGCCCCAUCUGAUGAGCUGAAGUUCCAGGCUGAGCAUGGGGAAGGGCCAUGGGGAAGAAAGCCAGCUGAGCAUAGCGGUCCCUUCCACUGCUUCCUGGUUGGCUGAGAUGUGAGCAGGCAGCUUCAUGCCCCUACUGCACUGAACCAACAGCCACCAUGUCGUUCUCCUCAUGAUGAAUCAUAGUACCUCAAGAUGUAAGCCAUAAUACCUCCUCUCUCCCCCUUCCUUAUAAGCUGUUCUUUGUAAGGAGUUUGAUCACAAAGAUGAGAAAAGUGGCAGGUGGGGGGAGGGGGGGGAGGAUGGGAAGAGACAGGUGGGGGGAGGAGAGUGAGGCUGAGGCUUGAGGCAUCCUUUGGGAGACAGGUUCACAUCUGACAAAAGCAACUUCGGGAAGGAAUGGCUUCUUGUGGCUCACAGGUUUAGGGUACAGUACACCCUGGUGAGGAAGUCGUAGGGUGACUGCUCACACUACACCCACAGUCAAGAAGCACAAGCACUGGCAGUUGAGGACGUAGGAACAAUCGGCUUGCCUUCUUUUUAUUCAAUCCAGAGCCACAGCCUGAGGAGUGGUGCCGCCCACAUUCAGAGCGGCUCUUCCUACUUGGACUCAUCUUGAAAUUCCCUCACAGAUGUGCCCCAUAGCCUGUCUCUUCAGUGAUUCUGGAUUGUGUCAAUAUCAACCAUCGCAGCAGAUGAGGGAUUUCAGAACCCAGGCAGGGUAAGGGGGAGGAAGUCACCAAGUCAACAUACAGAUCCACAUGACGGUAGUCUUUGCAUGACAGCAUGCAAACAAAAAGCCCAGUAUAAAGAGGACCAGUGGAGAUGAGAGGGUUGUGUUCUUAGGAGGGUCAAAUUGGAAGAAGGUGUCAAACCCAAAGAAAUGCCCCAGGGCAACCAUUGCUCCAUGGGGUGAGAGAAUGAAGGGAACCUGAGGAGAAGGGGGAGUGGUAAUGGAGGUGGACCACACUUGGGAGGUUGAGCCAGUGAUAAUGGGGCUUCUCUCCAGAUAUGGAAAGAACGGAUUAGGACCAUGGCUGAAACAAGACUUGACAGAGACAACUAUGCUUUUCAAUAGCUUAUGCCAAAAAGUGACAAAGGACCCAAAAGUAUAAGAUAACCAUCACAGGGUAGAAAGAUGGCUCAGUGGUUAAGAGCAAUGACUGUUCUUCCAAAGGUCCUGAGUUCAAUUCCCAGUAACUACAUAGUGGUUUACAACCACUAUGGGAUCUGAUGCCAUCAUCUGUGUGUCUGAAGACAGCUACAGUGUACUCAUAAACAUAAAAUAACUCAUAUAAAUAAGUUAUAUGAAUAUAAACUAUUCAUACAAUAAAUUAAAUAAGUAAAUAAAUUUUUUAAAAAAGAUACCCGUCACAAGGAAAGCAAUGGGGUUAGGGAAGUGACUCCACUCCAUCACAGAAGUGCUUCAGGCACCAGGACCUGAGUUUAGUCCCCAGAACCCAUGUGAAAACCAGGAGUGGUGGUGAAUGCUUAGAAUCCUAGAUCUGGCAAGCCAGAGACAGGCAGGUUCCUACAGCUCCCUGGCCAGAUUGCCUAAUUGGCAAUUUGCAGGCCAGUGAGAUAACUGACUCAAAACACAGACAAACAAUAAACCAAAAGCCAGCGAGUGUGCCUGUGCAUGCACAAAUACAACACAGGGAGAGGAACAGGCAGCCUGGAGGGGGGGGCACCCCCACUGGCCAGAGCUGAAACAAUUUAAAUAUCAAAAUAUUGGAGGAUGGUUUUGUGCACUGGGUAUUCAGAUGCUGAUUGCUGUGCCCAAUGAACUGGCACUGUCAUGAUAUUUGGAGCAUCUCCUGUCUCAGUGAUAUGUAAAAAUUAUUUUCCAUUACCUCUGAUUGGUUAAUAAAGAGCUGAUUCAGCCUCUAGCUCAGGAGAAGAGAAUAGGGAGGGACUUCAGAUCCCAGUGAGGAAGUCCCGAGCAAGAAGAGGAGAAAAGAAGAGGAGAACCAGGAGCAUUGGCCAUGAGGUCUCCACGAGGAGAGGAUGGAUGGAGCAGGAACAUCCAGGGCAAGACCAAGAUGGCAGGGAAUGCCACGUGGCUGUGGACUGGCUGGAAAGUAGACCAGGCUAGCAUGGUUGGGUUAGAAUAGCUCCAAACUUGUCCAGCAUAGUGCCUGCAGCUUGUUAAUAAAUUUAUUGGGUGUCCAUGUCAUUUAUUCAGGAGCCAAACCGGCUAGAAUGGGUGUAGAAACACUGUCAUUACUUGGGAGCAAAGGAGACAAAGAAAAGCCCCUGGAAUGACAUCUACAUCAUAAUCAAUUAAUAAAUAAUUAUCAGCUGCUAUAAAAUGAGCCUGAGCUCUGAAGGUCACCACCGGUGAACCAAAACCUGGUGAAGGGUCAGCCAUAAGGGUGCCACAUCACCUGCUAAAGCACACACACAGUGGAAAUGUCUGGCAGGUGGAGCCUUCCUCACAUGUCCAUGGUAACCUCAUCAGAACUAGGACCAACAAAAGUCUUGCCUCACCCAGUAACUAUGAUGGGAAUGUGGCACCACUGCUAUGAUAUCCUGCCCAAAAUACUGGCUCUGCCGUGAUUAUGAAGAAGCAUCGAACCCCAACUUCGCAGCCUCCUCUAAAAUGGCUACAUGCAUGGGGAUUACAGAGAGCCUCGGAAGACUUCGGUGACCAGGAAGAAACAAACACUCUGAGAAAGUCCCUGAGUACCAAGGUCACCUGGGAGAGCAAGUGAUGGGUGACCCUUAGUACCGAGGCCACCAGGGAGAGGAAGCAAUGGGUGAUCCUAGGUACUGAGGACACCUGGGAGAGCAAGCCAUUGGGUGAAGGAAAAGUUGAGGGUGGCGAUGGCUUCCUCCUUCUGGGGCUCGUACUGUAGGUGUUGGGGGAACAUCCAGUUUGUGGGACAAGGAAGACUCGGCACCAGAACACCCACAACUUACAGUCAAUGAACUGGGGGGGACGUUGGAGUGCUUUGCAUACUCUUGAGGCCUCUGUAAGUAUAUGAUUAUUUCGAAGUUUUCUCUUUUUUUAAUGGCUAAGUAUAAUAGAUAGUCAUCAUAAAAUUUUCAGAAAAUUAAAAUAAGCUCUCACUCCUUCACUGAGGUAACUGCCAUUAAUUCUGUGUGCUGCUUCCCAGUCCCUUUUCUAAAAAUAGAUUUUUAAUAAGCUGAAAUUAGACUAUAAAAAUAUUUUAUGGUGUCCCUUUUAAACUUUCUCAAUACUAUUGUUCCACUGUAAAUGUGUUCAAUAAUUCAAUUAACCAACCCCCUAUUAUUUCACAUUUAGACUGUUCCCAAUUUUGUCUUUGUUAUAAAUAACACUAUGGUGUCCAUCUUAAUACCAAUCUUUGAGCACACUAAGGUCUUUCCUUGGAGGAUAUUAGAAGUGGAACCAAGAGAUAUAGGACACAAACUUUUGAAGAUCCCAGUCACUUCAGAUUCCAACAUAAUCACCAUUCCUUCCAUUUUAGUACCUCAGAGACUUAUCUCCUGGGGUCUUUGUAUCUACCCCUGGACCAAGAAGGAAAUCAGCCUUGACAGCUGCCACUCCUAGAGAGGCCACAGUCAAAGCUACGGUGUCCUUCGGCCUUGCUUGAAGCCCAUGGUGGCCAUCAAACAUUCUUUCUCUUCACUAUCUCUGUUGACUCCUCUUCCCCAGCGAGCAGACCUGACCUUUCCCUCAAAGUGGAGUCUCCCUGAUGCAAGUACCCUACUCAUCCCUCCAUCUCUGAUGGUCUUCUCGUAUAUGAUCAGCAACACCUUACUGCCACACUGUUCCUCAGAAAGCAACCGGUGUUUUCUCUACAUACUUCAAAGCAUCUUUACUGCCUCCCUCCCUUCCAAAAUAGGCAGCUUGCCUAUAUACACAGCCCACUGGGUAAACAUCACAGCAUGAACUCACUGCCUGAGACCACUCUGAUCACUUAGGAGUGCUGCUGGCCCCUCUGUGUCUAGUAGUCCCUGUCUUUCAGGUUCUCUCUAGCAACACCACAAUUGUCACAACACACUCUACGGUGAAGAUCAUCUGAGGCCACUUCCCUGUCAUUACACAAGAGUUGAUCGACAGGGGCUGUUUCUUCUCAGCACCCAGGUCUGGGAUAGCACUUCCCACACAGCAACAUGUAGUUCAACAUUCCAUGCCCACAAGACACAGGACCUUGUACCUCCAAACCACAGUCUUUGUGCUGACUCUUUAAUGGGGGCUACUUUUCAAAAGAUGGGAACAAGGUCAUUAAAAGGAGCACUGAAGCCACCGUAAAACUUCAUUUCUAAUCCUGAAACUCAAGGAUCUUUAUUUGCUAGAGAUACUUCUUAGUGAUAAAUUUUUUUCUCAUAUUAUUUUGUUCUCAUCCAAACUUAAAAGAGCUUAUAUCAUCUCCCAGUUUGUGCUUGGCUCACUAAGAAAUGAGAUUAGGCCUUACUGUUGCUUCUGCCCUAAGGACCCCUAAAGCAGAGAGGCUCCUACAAGGACAGGAACAGUCUAGUAUCAGUGCAGGGUCCAUGGGAUACCAUGCUGUCCUCUCUGGGUAGCUUUUGCCAAGGGACUCCCAGGUUCUUUAAGCUGCAGAUGCUAAGGGAAAGGGAGAGGGUAACACACUUAGCCUCAGAACAUUGGUCUACUGAGCAAGACAAGCCAGAGGACAGUAAGAGACAUUGAUGGCCACAGAACCCAUGCAAAGAGUUUUAAUGGUGGAGGCAUGGGAGCUGUAAUAGAUGGAGGAAGCCAGCCAUGAGGAGAGAGAGGAGAAACUGGACAAGGAGGACUCUUGGUGCAGGACCCAGCAACCUAUGCUAAAACUUAAGAGGCAGGCAAGGGAGAUCAGGAGGCCUGGGCAUUAAAGGCCCUCGGAUUUGAGAAGGGCCAGAGUAUUUCAUUUCUGAGGGUAACCAACCAUUAAAUGAAUAAUAGUGGCCAAUUCUCUCAAACUCUGUCUCAAAAUAUAAAGAACUAAGGGAAACCUUGUCACUCCUUCUGCAAGACCAGUGUUUCCCUUACAUCAAAGCCAACCCCAUCGCAGGAAGGAAAGCCACCUGCAAAUACUCCCAACGAAUCCAGAUGCAGAAUCUCGCAGCCAAAUGCUAGGAAGCCAAACCAACAUCACGGGAAAAGGACAAAAUAUUGGAACCAGGAAGGAUUUAUUGACAGGCUAUAAAGUGAAUCCUUUUUUCAAUGUGAUGUCAACAUAUUGAUGUCAUGCAUGUUAAUGCAAUUAAAGGGUGGGGACAACAUGAAAACCUUAGCAGGUACAUGAAAGCAACUAGAAGGUUCAACAUUUCUUUCACAAUAAAAAAGGGUGUUCAUCAAUCUUAAAAAAAAAAAAAAGAAAGAAAGAAACGUCUUCACACAAUAAAGGUUAUCUAUGAAGAGCUUACAGCUAACGAGACUGAAGCUUUUCUGCUAAGAUCAAGCCUGCAAAUUUCAUAAUACUUUUUUUUUUCAAAUGGCUGAGAAUACUCCAUUGCAUAAAUGAACCACAUUUUCUUUAUCCAUUCAUUGGUUGAGGAACAUCUAGGAUGUUUCCAGUCUCUGGAUAUUAUGAAAAAAGUUGCUCUGACCAUAACUGAGUGAGUGUCUCUGUGAUAGUGGGGCAUCUUUUGGGGAUAUGCCCAGGAGCGGUCUUCAGGUAAAUCUAUUGCCAAUUUUCUGAGAAAGUUAAUUAGUUUGUUGAGGUCUAGUUUCUUAGAGUUCUUUAUAUAUUUUGGAUGUCAGCCCUCUGUCACAUAUGGAGUUGGUGAAAAUCUUUUCCCAUUCUGUAGGUGGAAUUUUGUCUUUUUGAUAGUAGCCUUUGCCUUACAGAAGCCUUUUAGUUUCAUGAGGUCCCAUUUAUUAAUUGUUGAUCUUAGUGUCUGAGCUGUUGGUGUUCUGUUCAGGAAGUUGUCUCCUGUGCCAAUGUGUUCAAGGCAGUUCCCCAUUUUUUUCUUCUGACAGGUUCAGUAUAUCUGGUUUUGUGUUGAGAUCUUUGAUCUACUUGAACAUGAGGUUUAUGCAGGGUGAUAGAUAUGGAUCUAUUUGCACUCUUGUACAUGUCCAGUUAGACCAGCACCUUUUGUUGAAGAUGUUUUCUUUUUUUUUUUCCAUUAUAUAGUGUUGGCUUCUUUGUCAAAAAUUAAGUGUCCAUAGGUGUGUGGGUUUACUUAUGCUUCUUCAGUUUGACUGUAUUGAAACACCUGUCUGUUUUUAUGCCAGUACCAUGUGGUUUUUAUUGCUAUUGCUUUAUAAGCUCAGCUUGAAAUCAGGGAUGGUAAUACCACUAGAAGUUCUUUUCUUAUACAGGAUUGUGUUAGCUGUCCUGAGGCUUUUUUUUUCCAUAUGAAGUUGAGGAUUGCUCUUUUAAGGUAUGCAAAGAAUUGUGCUGGAAUUUUGAUGGGAAUUACAUUGAAUAUGUAAAAUUGCUUUUGGUAAAAAUGGCAAUUUUUACUAUGUUAAUCUAUAAGCAUGGGAGAUCUUUCCAUCUUCUGGUAUAUUCUUCAACUUAUUUCUUCAAUGAUUUGAAGUUCUUGUCAUAUAGUUCUUUUGCUUGGUUGGUUAGAAUUACACCAAGAUAUUUUACAUUAUUUGUGGCUAUUCUGAAGGGUGUUAUUUCUCUAAUUUCUUUCUCAGCCUGGUUAUCAUUUAUAUAUAGGAGGGCUAGUUAUUUUUUAUUGUUGUUGUUAUUUUUGUAUCCAGCCGGUUUGCUGAAGGUGUUUACCAGUUGUAGGAGUUCUAUGGUAGAAUUUUUGGAGUUACUUAUGUAUACUAUCAUAUCGUCUUCAAAAAGCAAUACUUUGACUUCUUCCUUUUCAAUCUAUAUCCCCUUGAUCUCCUUGGUCUGAUUGCUCUAGCUAAAACUUCAACAACUAUAUUGGAUAGAUAGGGAAAGAGUGGACAGCCUUGUCUUGUCCCCUGAUUUUAGUUGAAUUGCUUUCAGUUUCUCUUGAUUUAAUUUAAUAUUGACUAUUGGCUUUCCGUACGUUGCCUUUAUUGUGUUUAGGUAUAUGCAUUGUAUCCCUGGUCUCUCCAACACUUUUAGCACGAAGGACAGUUGGAUUUUGUCAAAGGCAUUUUCAGCAUCUAAUGAGAUGAUCGUGUGGAUUUUCCUUUCCAUUUGUUUAUAUGGUCAAUUACAUUAAUGCUUUUAUUGAACCAUUCCUGCAUCCCUGGGAUGAAGCCUACUUGAUCAUGGUGAAUGAUGUUUUUGAUGUGUUCUUGGAUUCAGUUUGUGAGUAUUUUAUUGAAUAUUUUUACAUCAAUGUUCAUAAGGGAGAUUAGUCUGCAAUUCUCUUUCUUGGCUGAGUCUUUGUGAGGUUUAGGUAUCAGGGUGACUGUGACCUCAUAAAAUGAAUUUCACAGUAUUCCUUCUGUUUCUAUUUUGUGGAAUACUUUGAGGAGUAUUAGAAUUAGCUCUUCUUUGAAAGUCUGGUAGAGUUCUUUGCUAAAACCAUCUGGCCCUGGGCUUUGUUUGUUGUUGUUAUUACUGGGAGACUUGCAAUGACUGUUUCUAUUUCCUUAGGGGUUAUAGGUCUAUUUAGAUUGUUUACCUGAUCUUGACAAGAAAAGCAUCCAUUUUGUUUAGAUAUUCCAAUUUUGUGGAAUAUGGGUUUGUGAAGUAAGACCUAAUGAUUCUUUGGAUUUCCUCAGUGCCUGUGGUGAUGUUCCCCUUUUCAUUCCUGAUUCUGUCCAUGUGGCUUUGUUCUUCCUGCCCUUUAGCUAGUUUGGCUAAGGGUUUGUCUAUCUUGUUGUUUUUCUCGAAGAAUCAGCUCUUUGACUCACUGAUUCUUUGUAUUGUUCUUUUUGUUUUUAUCUUAAUGAUUUGACCCCUGAGUUUGACUAUUUCCUGCCAUCUGCUCCUCUUGGGUAUGCUUGCUUCUUUGUGUUCUAGUGCUUUCAGGUAUGCUAUUAAGUCACUAAUAUGAAAUCUCACUAAUUUCUUUAUGAAGGCACUUAAAGAUGAAACCAGAAAAGAUCUGAGUGAAGUAACCCUCACUCGGAACCAGAAAGACAAAUAUGGGAACAAGCACUGCGAUGCAUCUGUUUCCUUGCUGCUACUCAACACCGUACUAAAGGAUUUGCAGCCAAUGCAAUUAGAUGAGGAUGUAACGCUUUCAGCUGCUUCUCUAACACCAUGCAUGUGUGCUUCCCAUCAUGAUGCUGAGCAUCCAAACGUGUAAAGAGGCUCCCGAUUAAAUGCUCUCUUCUCUGA